GAGAGAGAGAGUGGGGGAUCGGUCGACCCCAUCAAAAGAACGAUGACAACGACCGGAGGAAGCACUGAGCACUCCCGUUUCGCCCGAUCACCUCUGUUGCCACCAUAACGACGGCAAGUUGUGGCGCUGCUGCGGUUGGAAGCUAUAAGACAAAACCUACUGCGAAAAACACUUCUUCCACGACUUGAUCAUCGAUUAAUUGGUAUCUCUCUCAGCUUCUCGAUGAUGGGUUUCAUAUGCUUUUGUUUGAUUUUCUGUUUUGUUUGUUGAUCUGAUACCGACUGAUCUGAACAAGAGAACUUAGACCUAAUCCGGCAGGCGGUGAGACAGAAUGGGUUGGGAGAGCCAACUCAGCCAUGAGGCUUGAUGGUGGACCGUAGUUCCUGUUUCCCUUGUUACAGGAAGUGCUGAAUUUCCUUUUAUUUGGGGGGAUGCAAAGGUGCAAAUUUAUUUAUUUUUCCUUGAUUGAUGAUGGUCAUGUGGACAGAGGAAUCAGCAUAUAUCAGCGGAAAUUUGUUGGGACGUUAGGGUUUUCGUUCACGAUUUGAGGAAUUAGGGUUUGUGCUUUCAAUUGAAAUCAGGGUUCCUAUUUGAUAAUGUUGCCGAAAUGUAGUUCUCUUCUGAAUUUUUUCCCCCUAUGGUCAUAGUUUUGUUUUGAUUCGAUAUGCUGUUCUCAAUGGGAUACAAUUUGUGAGGGACGAAUAUUUUGUGGUGCACUCGAAUGGAAAAAUAAAGAAUCAACAAUAGUCUUUGGUGUUCGUUUAAUCGUUGUUGAAUUUUUUGGCCUACAGAUUGUUUGAUCACUGUAUCAACUAAUUUAACUUGGGAGUUAGGAACUUAGGACUGUUGCGAAUGUGACCUACUGUAUAGGCUAAUGUAAUUUCUAUUGAAAGCUAUUUCUUCAAUUUAUGAUUAUGAGGGUAGUUUAUGUUAGUUUCUUUGUGUUACUAACAGUUGAUAGAGAGAAUUUAGACGUGAUUUUGACUGUGUCGACAGCGCCGUUCAUCUUUUCAUGUAUAGAGCUUUAAGCACUGAAUGCUGGAUGAGUAAAAUUAAUGGUUUUUAUCAUACAAAUUUCAGUUUCAUUUUUACAACUAUUAGCUAACGUAUGUUACUGGUUUGUAGGUUUAUCUGUCUUUAUGUUGUGCUCUUAUCACUUUGGCUGUUGGAGCUUAUCUUCACAUCCUCUGGAAUAUUGGAGGUUUCCUCACGACCACAGAUUCUAUGGGAAGCUUGGUUUGGCUACUCUUGACCCCUCCAUACGAAGAGGCAGUCAUUGUUGCAUUUUUCCUUUUUUGUUUUCCUUUAGUUUUUUUUUGGAUCCAUCUUUUGAUCAAUUGAAGUUGCUUUCCUGCCAUUUCCAUUUUUCAUUUUUUGUUUUUCCUGUUUGUUGGUUAAAAAUAGAUACACUUAUGCGAUUGUUUAGCGGUGAUGAUAUUAUACAUCUCUUUGUUCAUGUCUGGCAGUUAAAAAUAUUCUGAUGGCGGUUAAAAAUAUUCUGAUGGUUCCUGGAUCAUCGCCGAGUACACUGACUUCAUGGCGAAUCUGACCAACAUCAAUGGAAGUCAAAUGGAUGAGGUUCAAAUGACCUUAAUUCGGGUUUCUUUUCAUUUCGGAUUAACAAGUAAAGUUUUGGGCAAUCGAAGUUGCUGAUAGAGGAUCAUGGCAAAAAAAAUGCCAAUCAGUUCCCAGAAGAAGGAUUAUAACGAGAGCCCUUUGGACUACAAUGGCAAGUCUUUUGCCCGUGUAGUGGCAACCUCAACUUGCAGCUGGUCACUAAUGCCUUGUUAUCGCUGAAGAUUAUGUUUAAGGAGUAGUAUUUCUUCACAAGACCAGCUGGUAAUGUUUGUCUCCAAUUCCUUGGCGCAUCCAGCCUUAUUUGAGGCAAAUAGACCAGGCCCAUUGAGUGUGGUAAUGUUCGGUAAGGUCUAAUUUUGAUGUUAUAAUUUGCUGGAAACUUGGGACUAUUGAGAUCAAGGAUGUGUGUUAGGGUUGGUAGGAAUGUGUAUCAGGUAAAUCGACUCUGAUGAUGAGGACCAAUUUCUGCGUCUUCGAUACUUGUUUUUUAAGGUAGAGAUAGAGAGGAGAGUUAAAGCUUUUUAUAGUUUAU
Long non-coding RNA from Rhododendron vialii, 2110 nucleotides. RefSeq lists it as uncharacterized. Lineage: Eukaryota; Viridiplantae; Streptophyta; Magnoliopsida; Ericales; Ericaceae. The transcript is spliced from 3 exons. The record is from RefSeq and is a predicted model, not a curated record.